This 493-nucleotide ribosomal RNA is filed under the name uncultured bacterium. RNAcentral describes it as "bacterial SSU rRNA". It matches the Rfam family "Bacterial small subunit ribosomal RNA", at positions 903 to 1397 of the family's 1533-position model. The record is from RNAcentral.
AAAUGAAUAGACGGGGGCCCGCACAAGCGGCGGAGCAUGUUGCUUAAUUCGAGGCAACGCGAAGAACCUUACCUGGGUUGAACUACGUGGGAAAAGCCGCAGAGAUGCGGUGUCCUUCGGGGUCCACGAUAGGUGGUGCAUGGCUGUCGUCAGCUCGUGUCGUGAGAUGUUGGGUUAAGUCCCGCAACGAGCGCAACCCUUGUCCUAUGUUGCCAGCGGGUAAAGCCGGGGACUCGUAGGAGACUGCCGGGGUCAACUCGGAGGAAGGUGGGGACGACGUCAAGUCAUCAUGCCCCUUAUGUCCAGGGCUGCAAACAUGCUACAAUGGCCGGUACAAAGGGCAGCUAAACCGCGAGGUCAAGCGAAUCCCAAAAAGCCGGUCUCAGUUCGGAUUGAAGUCUGCAACUCGACUUCAUGAAGCUGGAGUCGCUAGUAAUCCCGGAUCAGCAACGCCGGGGUGAAUACGUUCCCGGGCCUUGUACACACCGCCCGU